CGUAGGUGGCAAGCGUUGUCCGGAUUUAUUGGGUUUAAAGGGUGCGUAGGCGGUUUUCUAAGUCAGCAGUGAAAUACGGCAGCUCAACUGUCGAGGUGCUGUUGAUACUGGGGAACUUGAGUACUGAUGAGGUAGGCGGAAUGGACGGUGUAGCGGUGAAAUGCUUAGAGAUCGUCCAGAACACCGAUAGCGAAGGCAGCUUACUAAGGAGUAACUGACGCUGAGGCACGAAAGUGUGGGGAUCAAACAGGAUUAGAUACCCUGGUAGUCCACACUGUAAACGAUGAUUACUCGACGUGUGCGAUACACGGCACGCGUCUUAGCAAAAGCGAUAAGUAAUCCACCUGGGGAGUACGCCGGCAACGGUG
This 368-nucleotide ribosomal RNA is filed under the name uncultured organism. RNAcentral describes it as "bacterial SSU rRNA". It matches the Rfam family "Bacterial small subunit ribosomal RNA", at positions 526 to 896 of the family's 1533-position model. The record is from RNAcentral.